UGCAGGGAUUACAGGCAUGAGCCACGGCACCCAGCCUGGCCAUUUUUCUGUAGAAUUCCAGGAACAGGCUGAGUGGGGAUGGGGGUGGUUCUGAGGCUACUAAAGAGAAGAGCCAAAGAUUGUAUAGGUAAAUUCUACCUGCCAACGCCCUAGACUCAAAUGCAUCAGGCUCACCCCAGGAAGGGCAGCUAGGGCUGCCUUGUUCUAGAGACUAUAUGAAGGGCAAGGAAAAAGCCUCCUGAACCCAGGUGGAAGCCUAAAUGCUAAGGGAUGUUCUGGAUCCUCAUCAUCAGAUAAUCCAGAGAGAAGUGAACUGAUGGCCCCUCAAACCACAAUUGUCUCGUCGCAGAAAGGAAUCGCCUGUGCUGGGUCUUCAGACCUCAGCUCCAUGCCGCUGAGCAGCCCCACCCUGGCUCAACCCGUUACCCGCCCCGCCAGCAGGCCGGGGUCACUGCAGUCCCCACGUCGAAGCGGAAAAGGGAAGCCGCAAUGACACAGCCGACUAGGCCCUCGGUCACCUGUGACCAGGGAUCCUCCACGAUCGGCGGGACCGCCGCCCAGGCGACCACCAGUUCCAGCGCCACCUCGGGUUCGAACUACCAGCGCGAUAGACUCGGCCGCCGCCCAGAAAUCGGCGUAGGGGGUCAGCCGCAGAUCUGCUUUCCGCGGCCGAGGUCCGCGCAGCAGCCGGUGCUGUUCAGGUGAGCGCUUUAGAGAAGACCAAGAAAAAGAUCAGCCACUACUAUGAACACCUGAAAAAAAAGUUCAUGACAGAGCAGCUCAGAAAGCUCGGGCGAUGGAGAGAGGAAUCCGUGAACAGCAACCGGUACUUAACCUUCGGGAUACCACCACCAGUUUAAACUCCAGUCUCCCAAGAAAGGCCAACCACCCUAGUUCUGGCAAAGGGAUCUGCCCCAGGGUCACGAUGACACCAGUGUGACCCGAGGAGAACUAGUAACUACAACCUACACAACUGUAGAACAAUAAACAGAAACCAGCAGACAGCGGAGCAUAAUAAAUCCUCAGCAAUCCUCAUAUUCCUUGCCCAUGCAUCCCCUCUAUUUGGUGAAGGAGGUCCUGAUAGUCUCGUAGAUGCUCAACUCAAAAAGACUACUAUGCAACAGAAGAAAACUAUGCCUGAAAUAUCUACAGGAGAAAUUCUGUGUAUGAGUGUUUAAGGAACCUCUUUUGUUACUCAAGUAACCAGAAUGAGUAAUAAAAAUCAAGCAUGAGUAGUA
Molecule: long non-coding RNA, 1238 nt
Filed under: Homo sapiens (human)
Lineage: Eukaryota; Metazoa; Chordata; Mammalia; Primates; Hominidae
Description: HSALNT0330425
Source: RNAcentral